CUAAGAACAAAGCCUGAGGUGUUUUUGUUCCACAUCAUAGCCCUACCACCCCCAGCAGUAGAAGGAAUAGCAUCAGCUACUGCUGGAGCAGUACUAGUAGAUGGUGUAGCAUCUACUGCAACACCACCACCAGGACCUCCUACAACAACAGUAGUAGACCUAGUCUUUAUCAUCUCAUCUAGUACAUCAGCAGCUCCAACAAAACCACCCUCAACACCAACCAC
This 224-nucleotide long non-coding RNA is filed under the name Sorghum bicolor (sorghum). RNAcentral's name for it is "long non-coding RNA (SBIC_LNC013081)". Lineage: Eukaryota; Viridiplantae; Streptophyta; Magnoliopsida; Poales; Poaceae. The record is from RNAcentral.